Molecule: ribosomal RNA, 434 nt
Filed under: uncultured eukaryote
Lineage: Eukaryota
Description: bacterial SSU rRNA
Rfam family: Eukaryotic small subunit ribosomal RNA
Source: RNAcentral
CAAUAGCGUAUAUUAAAGUUGUUGCGGUUAAAAGCUCGUAGUUGGAUUUCUGUUGAGAACGACCGGUCCACCUCUUGGGUGAGUAUCUGGUUUGGUCUCGGCAUCCUCUCGAAACUCGUUGCUGCGCUUGAUUGCGUGGUGCGGUGUUCGGGACUUUUACUUUGAGGAAAUUAGAGUGUUCACGGCAGGCAUUCGCCUUGAAUAUAUUAGCAUGGAAUAAUGAUAUAGGACUUUGGUUCUAUUUUGUUGGUUGUUCGAGGACCGAAGUAAUGAUUGAUAGGGACGGUUGGGGCGGUCAGUAUUCUUGAAGCGAGAGGUGAAAUUACUUGGACCUUCGUAGACUAACAACUAGCGAAGACAUUCGUCCUACGGAAGUGUUCUUCCUUUAAUUCAAGAACGAAAGUUAGGGGGAGUCGAAGAUGAUCAGAUACCAU